AGGUCCAGUACCUCAUCAACAACGGCUGGGCUCCCUGCAUCGAGUUCGAGGGUGCCGGCAAGGCGUACUGCGACACCCACGGCUGGUCCGGCCUCGACUCCUCCGUCAACGCGGGCUACUACGACAACCGCUACUGGGUGAUGUGGAAGCUCCCCAUGUACGGCUGCACCUCUCCGGAUGAGGUCCUCGCCGAGGUCCGCGCGUGCACCCGCGCGUUCCCCGACUGCUUCAUUCGCGUCGCGGGUUUCGACAACAUCAAGCAGGUCCAGUGCUCCUCCUUC
Molecule: long non-coding RNA, 281 nt
Filed under: Micromonas pusilla
Lineage: Eukaryota; Viridiplantae; Chlorophyta; Mamiellophyceae; Mamiellales; Mamiellaceae
Description: long non-coding RNA (MPUS_LNC000191)
Source: RNAcentral